GUCCAACAUCUCUUGAUGACAUCACCUGAUUCCAACAGGUCACACGUCUCUUGGGGGCCUUUUUCCCACAUCAUUUAAUAGGAAGUGCCUGUUCUGUGAAAUACGAAGAUAACCAGCCUUGGAGAAGACGCCUCCAUCCAUACUGAGAUGCUAAACCAGAAGCUACAAAACUGGUAUUUGGAUUAAGCAUAGCGGGUGGAUCAGCUACUUUUCUCUUCUGUGGCCUUAAGAUGAGAAUAAAAACUCCAUUUGAAAGAAAAAAAAAAAGACCCAUCCGCUUUUUCUCCCCUGAUGAUAGGAGAUGCCAAGCAGAUUCCACCUCUUCCAUCGCCCGCAAGCACAGGCAGCCAAGAAGUGCCAAGAGGCAGCAGAUGUUUUAACUCUGAGGCAGCCAGGACAUUUUGUGGCAAGCAGAGCCUGGAGAGAAUUGCUGCCAGGGAACGUGUCUUCUGCCGCACGACCACGUGCUGCUCCUUCAUCUCCAGCAUGCCAGAGAUCAGCCUUCCCACAUAAACCCAGCAAGACCCUACCAUGGCACCUGAAAACAAAAAAAAUCUGUGACCCAAGGCUGGUGGCACUUUCAGGCUGGACCUGUCUAAGGCUGUUGGCCAAAGCCCAAAAGCCACUUACGCUGCUGUUAAUAACCCACCCGUGUUACAAAGCAGCACCAGAAGACACCAACCAAAGACAAGGUGAUCUGCUAAAACAGCCUGUAGAGUCUUCUGACCUCUUUCCCACGGCCUCACAGCAUCUAAGCCCACACAUCCAGCUGGGAACUUGAUAACGUUGUCCUCCCAUUAUCCCUUCCAUGUUUUCUCUUCCCAAACCCAGGAUGUGGACAGGUAAACCUUUCAGAGCUCCCUUUCCCCACCGCGCAUCAUUGUUCCUCCCCCGUCUUUUCCCGAAUGCCGGAUACGGCAUGUCCUAACCAGCCCCUGGCAUUCCAUGGGAGUGGAAGCCAGGCUGCCUACCCUUCUGCAGGCCAAAUGCACAUUUAUACUCACGAGUAAGUCUUUUCCCAAACCUUUUUACGUAGGAUUAUGAGACUAUGACACAACGCAGUCUGGAUUUCCAUGAGAACAUGGGGAGACGUGCUGAUUCUCAAGGAGAGGUAGUUUGUUCAUACUGGGAAAUGUUGCCUCUCUGGAGGACCUUUCUGGUACAUCCCAAAUGAAUGUCCAUGGUGUUCCCUGUCAAGAGGCUUUGGUCCUGUGGGCAGUCUUCACGUAACUAAAAGCACUUUGAGAGGGGUGGAGAAGGAACGAGCAUGUAUGCCAGCCACAGACCCAGCACACUCAACAGCCACUGACUCAUAAAUGUGCACUUUCACAAGCCUAUGGGUUGCUCUGCCCAUUCCAAACCCAUUAGCAACAUGUGGCCUUGAAAAUAUGCACCUGGACGGGACCCUGAAACGUCAUGUCAUCCAUCCCGCUCCCCGAGGCGGGAGCAACUCUACCUACAGCAUUCCUGAGCGGUAUUCUGUCCAACCUGUUCUUAAAACCUCCAACAGGGGAGACUCCAGAGCGUCCCAAAGCUUUUCUAGUAUUAUCACAACCUACCAUUAUGAGAUUUUCUUGGUGGAUCAUCUAAAUCUACCUUCGAAUGUAAAAGGAAGCGACCUUCCUCCCGCGGAGAUGCUGGGUCGCUGUGGGUUAUACCAGGCCUGCCGGGUGGCACGGUCCCAGGUCUCUGGGCUGGUGGCCCUGCUCCAAAACUGCUGAUUAGCACAAGGGAAUUCCACUGCCGUUACAGUCCGCAUCAGCUGCCUCCACACGUCUGCC
Calidris pygmaea (Spoon-billed sandpiper) is the source of this 1781-nucleotide long non-coding RNA. Lineage: Eukaryota; Metazoa; Chordata; Aves; Charadriiformes; Scolopacidae. The record is from Ensembl.